GAUGAACGCUGGCGGUAUGCUUAACACAUGCAAGUCGAACGGUGUCUUCGGACACAGUGGCGGACGGGUGAGUAACGCGUGAGAAUCUGGCUCUAGGUCUGGGACAACCACUGGAAACGGUGGCUAAUACCGGAUGUGCCGAGAGGUGAAAGGUUAACUGCCUAGAGAUGAGCUCGCGUCUGAUUAGCUAGUUGGAAGUGUAAUGGACUCCCAAGGCGACGAUCAGUAGCUGGUCUGAGAGGACGAUCAGCCACACUGGGACUGAGACACGGCCCAGACUCCUACGGGAGGCAGCAGUGGGGAAUUUUCCGCAAUGGGCGAAAGCCUGACGGAGCAAUACCGCGUGAGGGAGGAAGGCUCUUGGGUCGUAAACCUCUUUUCUCAGGGAAGAACACAAUGACGGUACCUGAGGAAUAAGCAUCGGCUAACUCCGUGCCAGCAGCCGCGGUAAUACGGAGGAUGCAAGCGUUAUCCGGAAUGAUUGGGCGUAAAGCGUCCGCAGGUGGCAAUGUAAGUCUGCUGUUAAAGAGUCUAGCUCAACUAGAUAAGAGCAGUGGAAACUACAUAGCUAGAGUACGUUCGGGGCAGAGGGAAUUCCUGGUGUAGCGGUGAAAUGCGUAGAGAUCAGGAAGAACACCGGUGGCGAAGGCGCUCUGCUAGGCCGUAACUGACACUGAGGGACGAAAGCUAGGGGAGCGAAUGGGAUUAGAUACCCCAGUAGUCCUAGCCGUAAACGAUGGAUACUAGGCGUGGCUUGUAUCGACCCGAGCCGUGCCGUAGCUAACGCGUUAAGUAUCCCGCCUGGGGAGUACGCCGGCAACGGUGAAACUCAAAGGAAUUGACGGGGGCCCGCACAAGCGGUGGAGUAUGUGGUUUAAUUCGAUGCAACGCGAAGAACCUUACCAAGGCUUGACAUGUCGCGAAUCCUGGUGAAAGCUGGGAGUGCCUUCGGGAGCGCGAACACAGGUGGUGCAUGGCUGUCGUCAGCUCGUGUCGUGAGAUGUUGGGUUAAGUCCCGCAACGAGCGCAACCCUCGUUUUUAGUUGCCAGCAUUAAGUUGGGCACUCUAGAGAGACUGCCGGUGACAAACCGGAGGAAGGUGGGGAUGACGUCAAGUCAGCAUGCCCCUUACGCCUUGGGCUACACACGUACUACAAUGCUCCGGACAGAGGGCAGCAAGCAUGCGAAUGCAAGCAAAUCCCGUAAACCGGAGCUCAGUUCAGAUCGCAGGCUGCAACUCGCCUGCGUGAAGGAGGAAUCGCUAGUAAUUGCAGGUCAGCAUACUGCAGUGAAUUCGUUCCCGGGCCUUGUACACACCGCCCGUCACACCAUGGAAGCUGGUAGUGCCCGAAGUCAUUACUCCAACCUUUCGGGGAGGAGGAUGCCUAAGGCAGGACUGGUGACUGGGGUGAAGUCGUAACAAGGUAGCCGUACCGGAAGGUGUGGCUGGAUCACCUCCUUU
RNAcentral lists this ribosomal RNA (1462 nucleotides) under Nostoc sp. 8901:1. Its description in RNAcentral is "bacterial SSU rRNA". It matches the Rfam family "Bacterial small subunit ribosomal RNA". The record is from RNAcentral. Lineage: Bacteria; Bacillati; Cyanobacteriota; Cyanophyceae; Nostocales; Nostocaceae.